RNAcentral lists this unclassified non-coding RNA (284 nucleotides) under uncultured Ascomycota. RNAcentral describes it as "sequence contains ITS1". The stretch from base 1 to 105 matches the Rfam family "5.8S ribosomal RNA", at positions 50 to 154 of the family's 154-position model. Lineage: Eukaryota; Fungi; Ascomycota. The record is from RNAcentral.
GAAAUGCGAUAAGUAAUGUGAAUUGCAGAAUUCAGUGAAUCAUCGAGUUUUUGAACGCACACUGCGCCCCUUGGUAUUCCGGGGGGCAUGCCCGUUCGAGCGUCAUUUCACCAAUCAAGCCUGGCUUGGUAUUGGGCCCCGGGGGCGACCCGGGCCUCAAAGUCGUCGGCUGCGCAAUCUCAAUCUCAGCGUCGUGGAAACAUUCGCGAAGGGAGAGGUGAUGCACGCCGUUAAACCCAUCAAAGGUUGACCUCGGAUCGGGUAGGAAUACCCGCUGAACUUAA